This 445-nucleotide ribosomal RNA is filed under the name uncultured Anaerolineaceae bacterium. RNAcentral describes it as "bacterial SSU rRNA". It matches the Rfam family "Bacterial small subunit ribosomal RNA", at positions 923 to 1382 of the family's 1533-position model. The record is from RNAcentral. Lineage: Bacteria; Bacillati; Chloroflexota; Anaerolineae; Anaerolineales; Anaerolineaceae.
GCACAAGCAGCGGAGCGUGUGGUUUAAUUCGAUGUUACACGAAGAACCUUACCUGGGUUUGACAUAUAGGUUGUAGGGAACUGAAAAGGGACCGACCCUUCGGGGAGCCUAUACAGGUGUUGCAUGGCUGUCGUCAGCUCGUGUCGUGAGAUGUUCGGUUAAGUCCGCUAACGAGCGCAACCCUCGUCGUAUGUUAUAUGUGUCAUACGAGACUGCCGGUAAAAGCCGGAGGAAGGUGAGGAUGAUGUCAAGUCAGCAUGACCUUUAUAUCCAGGGCUACACACACGCUACAAUGGUCUGUACAAUGGGUAGCCAAGCCGCGAGGCGGAGCCAAUCCUGAAAGCAGGCCUCAGUUCAGAUUGCAGUCUGCAACUCGACUGCAUGAAGCCGGAGUUGCUAGUAACCGCAGGUCAGCAAUACUGCGGUGAAUACGUUCCCGGGUCUU